UCACCAGCGCUGACUAUGGGAUAACGGACAGGUCACCAGCACUGACUGUGGGAUAACCAACAGGUCACCAGUGGUCACUAUGAGAUAACCAACAGGUCACCAGCACUGACUAUGGAAUAACAGACAGGUCACCAGAGCCCAGGGAAGAACGAGGCCUGUGAGUGGGAAGACACUUGUGCUCGGGUCUGUGAGGUCACCAAUGGAACACAAACAUUCCAUGCCCCCUCCCUGCCCCCAUCUUGUCUGCUCCUACAAACCUCUCCCCGCAGGGAAAUACUGUUUUCCUCUCUCAGGACCAUUUUCUGGCUACAGGUGAAGUAACCACUGUCCUUUGUGGGUGUCCCUGCUCCUCCAGAAUCCCCACAGUUCACGGGGACUUACCCAGCCUCCCAGAAUCAGCAGAACUGUAAGUGCCCAAGAAGCUCAUCCAUGGAGUCCUGCCAAGCACCAGACAUUUGCUGCUGGGAUGUGCCUUUGGUUAGAGAAGCUUCAUUAUGAAGCGGACGACGGCUGAUUCAGAGGCUCAGAACUGCUCGACAACGCAUCCCUUACAAAUAACACUGAGUGUUCAGCUGUGGAUGGGUCAUCCAUACCAACCUCCUGCCAUCCAAGGCUCAGUCAGGGAAGUUCUUAGAAGAGGGGGACAGAAAGAGCCUAAGAGUCAGCAGAUGAUAGGGAAGCUGACAUUUGGACACAGCAUGGCUCCAAACUACCAGCUCACGGCGGCUGUGGUCACCUGCAUGACAUCAAAGCUGUUGAAGCUCCAACAUGGGUGGAGGAGGGGACCCCAAGACACACCUCUGUCAGGGGAGCUACUGCAGCUGAUGGUUGCCGAGGGAGGGGAAGCACCUCUCCUUUGGGGAUGUGGCCUGAUGGAAGGUUGGCCAGCCCCAGUGGAUAGCCAGGCAUCCACGGUCACAGGGGCAGAACUAACUGGAUUCAGGGUCACCACAAAAAUAAAUAAAUGCAAUGAAGACACGAAACUGGGAGGGAGAUCGGGUGAGCCACUCUGAGGAGCUGCAAGGAGGUAGUGUUGGAUGUAUAUGACCAAUAUACACUAUAUAACAUAUGGAACUUUCAAAGACUAAAAUAUUAUUAAAAUGAUGCUUUUAAAAAAAAUAAAGAAAGAAAAGCAUUCCAGCAUUUCAGGACUUCGCACCUCGAGCCCAGCACUCAGCAGGUCCUUACCUGACCCCUCCCAGCUGGGUUACAUACUAAGUCAUAAUCCUUAGGCAUUCUUAGCGUGAAUGAAUGAUGCUAGAAUUCUCUACCAGAUGAGCAAUUCGAGGUGCUGCAGUGAGGUGCACACAGACAGGGGCUCUGGAGGGAUUCAAACCUUGGUUCAAAGCCGGGCCCUUCCUCUUAUUUGCUGUGUGGCAUUGAGUGAAUUAUUGGCCCUCUCUGGUCACAGUAAAUAGUGAACCACCACCAGUGCACUGUUGCUG
This is a non-coding RNA of Peromyscus maniculatus bairdii (prairie deer mouse), 1445 nucleotides long. Lineage: Eukaryota; Metazoa; Chordata; Mammalia; Rodentia; Cricetidae. The record is from RefSeq and is a predicted model, not a curated record.